ACAGAGGCAGGAAGGCUGCUGGAUGCCGCAAGGGCUUCCUGUGGAGAAAAUGUCUGUUCUUUGCCUGUGUGAUCUCAGGGCCCCACAGAACACAAUCUAUCACCCAUGGGGCAGAAUGUGUGAAAACAGCAAGACCAGCAGAAACAAGCGGCGCGAGGACUCGGAGCGAUCAAUAUUCGUGCGGUUAAAAGAAGGUGGCUACCGGCUGCGAGAAAACAUCCUCUUCCAUCUCUACGUGAGCACCUCCCCCUGUGGAGACGCAAGACUCCACUCUCCCUACGAGAUCACCACAGACCUGCACAGCAGCAAACACCUGGUCAGGAAGUUCCGCGGGCACCUGCGCACCAAGAUCGAGUCCGGGGAAGGGACGGUCCCUGUGCGUGGCCCCAGCGCAGUGCAGACCUGGGACGGCGUCCUGCUGGGGGAGCAGCUGAUCACCAUGUCCUGCACGGACAAGAUCGCCAGGUGAGGCCCACGGCUUCCUCUCGAGGAUGUUGGCUGCGGCCGGUGGAGAGUGCCAAGCCCCAGGCUCCCUGCGUCCCACUUCUGGUGAGGUCAGAGAUGCUGGGCACAUGCGGUCAGGGCCCUGUGCCUGAGCCGUGGAACUCCACAGCCGUUCCGCGUGUUCAGUCCCACACCCUGAGGCCAAGGCACCCCGAGUCCCCGAGGGAACAAGGCCCUGCCACCCCAGGCUGCCACUGCAGAGGCAAACAGCCCUGAGCAAGGCCCGGCAACCCCAGGCUGUGGCUGCAUGGGGCAAACACAGCCUGGCCUGAGGCUGCCGGCCAGUCAGGGUGGCCAUAGGCUAACGAGAAGCCAGGGCCUCCCACCCCACUGGGCUUUCCACCAAAACCUGACUAACGUUCAGGGACAGCCACAGGUCUUGAGGUCAGCUGGGUGGAACACCUCUCCUGCACCAUCCCCUGAGAUAUUGUCUUCUUGAAAGGAGUUUUCAAAGCCUCCAUGUGGAGGUCUCAGGAUGAGGUGUCUCGGCUGAGCUCUGUGCAGAGGAGCAGGAAGGUGCAGAAUGGGCACCCACCUCCCUCCCAGCACCUCCAGUCGCUGCCACGCCCCAAGCUCCCGAGCUGCUCUGCCCAAGACCUUCCCCAACCUUGGUCUGACACGUUGAGACCUCCCCAUACCUCGGCCUGAUGCCCCAAGACCUCUCCCAACCUCAGUCUGAUGCCCCGAGACCUCCUUGGCCUCAGUCUGAUAACCUAAGACCUCCCCCAACCUCAGUCUGAUGCCCCAAGACCUCCCCCAGGUUAGUCUGAUGCCCUGAGACCUCCCCCAACCUCGGUCUAACAUCCCAAGACCUCCCUGUCCCCCUGUCCUCGGUCUGACCCCCCAAGACCUCCUCCACAUUGGUCUGACACCCUGAGACCUCCCCCGACCUCGGACUCACGCCCUGAGACCUCUCUGGCCAUGGUCUGAUGCCCCGAGACCUCCCCCACGUUGGCCUGAGGCCCCGAGACCUCCCCCACAUUGCUCUGAUGCCCCGAGGCCUCCCCCACAUUGGUCUGACACACUGAGGCCUCCCCAACAUGGAUCUGAGGACCUGAGACCUCCCCAACGUUGAUCUGAGGCCCCAAGACCUCCCCCACGUUGGUCUGAUGCCCCGAAAGCACCAUCCCCAAUGCAGGACAUUUCUGUAACUUUGGUUUGGAAAAUAGGGGUCACAGGUGUGGGGACAGCAUGAGUUUCCCUAAAAGAGCCAUGAACUCCCCGCAAGCCUGAUUAAAAAAACUAACAACAACGUGGUCACAGGAAGUCUGGGUUGAGUGACCCAGAACACCCUUGGAC
RNAcentral lists this small RNA (1803 nucleotides) under Pongo abelii (Sumatran orangutan). RNAcentral's name for it is "processed transcript". Lineage: Eukaryota; Metazoa; Chordata; Mammalia; Primates; Hominidae. The record is from RNAcentral.